Molecule: ribosomal RNA, 462 nt
Filed under: Daphnia ambigua
Lineage: Eukaryota; Metazoa; Arthropoda; Branchiopoda; Diplostraca; Daphniidae
Description: partial large subunit ribosomal RNA
Rfam family: Bacterial large subunit ribosomal RNA
Source: RNAcentral
CUGCUCAAUGCAUUGUAAAUAGCCGCAGUACCCUGACUGUGCUAAGGUAGCAUAAUCAUUAGUCUCUUAAUUAGAGGCUGGUAUGAAUGGUGAGACGAGAAAAAAGCUGUCUCUAAAGUAGCUAUCGAAUUUCAUUUUUAAGUGAAAAAGCUUAAAUAUUUUUGGAGGACGAUCAGACCCUUUGGAGCUUUAUUUUGUUUUGAUUUUAGGUUAUUUUUAAAUAACAAAAGUUUUAGCAAAAUUUUGUUGGGGCGACAGAAAGUUAUUGAGAAACACUUUUUUUAAAAACCACUCAUUAGUGAAAAAUUGAUCCCCACAGAGGGAUUAAAAGACUAAGUUACCCUAGGGAUAACAGCGUAAUCUUUUUGGAGAGUUCAUAUCGAUAAAAAGGUUUGCGACCUCGAUGUUGGAUUAAGAAAUUAGCAAGGUGCAGAAGUUUUGCUGGAAAGUCUGUUCGACUUU